Molecule: ribosomal RNA, 904 nt
Filed under: Lacticaseibacillus zeae
Lineage: Bacteria; Bacillati; Bacillota; Bacilli; Lactobacillales; Lactobacillaceae
Description: bacterial SSU rRNA
Rfam family: Bacterial small subunit ribosomal RNA
Source: RNAcentral
GAUGAACGCUGGCGGCGUGCCUAAUACAUGCAAGUCGAACGAGUUCUGAUUAUUGAAAGGUGCUUGCAUCUUGAUUUAAUUUUGAACGAGUGGCGGACGGGUGAGUAACACGUGGGUAACCUGCCCUUAAGUGGGGGAUAACAUUUGGAAACAGAUGCUAAUACCGCAUAAAUCCAAAAACCGCAUGGUUCUUGGCUGAAAGAUGGCGUAAGCUAUCGCUUUUGGAUGGACCCGCGGCGUAUUAGCUAGUUGGUGAGGUAACGGCUCACCAAGGCAAUGAUACGUAGCCGAACUGAGAGGUUGAUCGGCCACAUUGGGACUGAGACACGGCCCAAACUCCUACGGGAGGCAGCAGUAGGGAAUCUUCCACAAUGGACGCAAGUCUGAUGGAGCAACGCCGCGUGAGUGAAGAAGGCUUUCGGGUCGUAAAACUCUGUUGUUGGAGAAGAAUGGUCGGCAGAGUAACUGUUGUCGGCGUGACGGUAUCCAACCAGAAAGCCACGGCUAACUACGUGCCAGCAGCCGCGGUAAUACGUAGGUGGCAAGCGUUAUCCGGAUUUAUUGGGCGUAAAGCGAGCGCAGGCGGUUUUUUAAGUCUGAUGUGAAAGCCCUCGGCUUAACCGAGGAAGUGCAUCGGAAACUGGGAAACUUGAGUGCAGAGGAGGACAGUGGAACUCCAUGUGUAGCGGUGAAAUGCGUAGAUAUAUGGAAGAACACCAGUGGCGAAGGCGGCUGUCUGGUCUGUACUGACGCUGAGGCUCGAAAGCAUGGGUAGCGAACAGGAUUAAUACCCUUGUAGUCCAAGGGCGAAUUCCACAGUGGAUAUCAAGCUUAUCGAUACCGUCGACCUCGAGGGGGGGGCCAGUACCCAGCUUUUGUUCCCUUUAGUGAGGGGUUAAUUACA